RNAcentral lists this unclassified non-coding RNA (512 nucleotides) under Hevea brasiliensis (rubber tree). Lineage: Eukaryota; Viridiplantae; Streptophyta; Magnoliopsida; Malpighiales; Euphorbiaceae. The record is from RNAcentral.
UGGAAUCUCAAUACCAUCAUCGUACGUAUAUUCUUCUUUAUUAUAAUUUAAACUUAUAAUAUAAUGUUAUAGAUAAUUAUGAUAAACAUAUGCAGAGUGGUUUCUUCCUACCAUUUGAUAACUUGUAUUUAGGAGAUUAACGUGCCACCAGAUGCCUGUAUGGCAAUAAUAGAACAUUCAUCAAGUCAUCCUCAAAAAAUAUGAAUGUCUUCCAUCUUUUGGCUAUUUAUAAUCUAUGGUUGGAUGGUACAGGUAUUCGAAAAGAUAUAGGCUUGUUAUUAAUUAAACCUAUUUGUAGUUCCUCAUAGUGGAGGUCACUUUUCAGUUAGGUUUUUGUGUGAUGGAACCUUGUAUACAAUACAUUGUUCUAGUGAAAGAGUGCUUAUGCAUGCCCUACCAUUAUGAGACUGCACAUUUUAUAAGACCUUUUAUGUUAAGCAAGUAAAUCUAGGGGUGGCCAUGGUUUAGGAACCGUCGGUUACGGUUCUUGAAUCGCCGGUUUAGGUUCAAUG